Non-coding RNA from Acanthosepion pharaonis, 83 nucleotides. The record is from the annotation of a GenBank genome assembly. NCBI's taxonomy places the organism in Eukaryota, Metazoa, Mollusca, Cephalopoda, Sepiida, Sepiidae.
ACCCAUACGAUCAUCGAAGUUAAGCAAACUCGAGGCUGGUCAGUACCUAGAUGAGUGAGCGUGUGGGAAUACCAGGUGCGGCU